CCUACGUGUGGCUGCAGUGGGGAAUAUUGGGCAAUGGGCGCAAGCCUGACCCAGCAACGCCGCGUGAAGGAAGAAGGCUUUCGGGUUGUAAACUUCUUUUGUCAGGGAAGAGUAGAAGACGGUACCUGACGAAUAAGCCACGGCUAACUACGUGCCAGCAGCCGCGGUAAUACGUAGGUGGCAAGCGUUGUCCGGAUUUACUGGGUGUAAAGGGCGUGUAGCCGGCGCUGCAAGUCCGGAGUGAAAGCCCAUGGCUUAACCAUGGUACUGCUCUGGAAACUGUGGGGCUUGAGUGCGGGAGCGGCAGGCGGAAUUCCUGGUGUAGCGGUGAAAUGCGUAGAUAUUAGGAGGAACACCGGCGGCGAAGGCGGCCUGCUGGACCGUAACUGACGUUGAGGCUCGAAAGCGUGGGGAGCAAACAGGAUUAGAUACCCUAGUAGUC
RNAcentral lists this ribosomal RNA (442 nucleotides) under uncultured bacterium. Its description in RNAcentral is "partial 16S ribosomal RNA". It matches the Rfam family "Bacterial small subunit ribosomal RNA", at positions 338 to 795 of the family's 1533-position model. The record is from RNAcentral.